Molecule: unclassified non-coding RNA, 168 nt
Filed under: uncultured Ascomycota
Lineage: Eukaryota; Fungi; Ascomycota
Description: sequence contains ITS1
Source: RNAcentral
CAGAGUUCAUGCCCUCACGGGUAGAUCUCCCACCCUAUGUUAUCGUUACCUUUGUUGCUUUGGCGGGCCGUCAGGCCUCGGUCAGGCUACCGGCUUCAGCUGGUAAGCGCCCGCCAGAGGACCCCAAACUCUGAAUAUUAGUGUCGUCUGAGUACUAUAUAAUAGUUA